Molecule: ribosomal RNA, 458 nt
Filed under: uncultured bacterium
Lineage: Bacteria
Description: partial 16S ribosomal RNA
Rfam family: Bacterial small subunit ribosomal RNA
Source: RNAcentral
GAUAAACGCUGGCGGCGUGCAUGAGACAUGCAAGUCGAACGAAGGAUCGGGCUUGCUCGAUCCUUAGUGGCGGACGGCUGAGUAACGCGUAGGUGACCUACCCCGAAGUGGGGAAUAACUGCCCGAAAGGGUGGCUAAUACCGCAUGUGGUCGCACGUUCAUUCGUGCGAGUAAAGCCGCAAGGCGCUUCGGGAGGGGCCUGCGUCCGAUUAGCUCGUUGGUGGGGUAAUGGCUUACCAAGGCGACGAUCGUUAGGUGGUCUGAGAGGACGAUCACCCAGACUGGGAGUGGGACACGGCCCAGACUCCUACGGGAGGCAGCAGUCGGGAAUUUUGCUCAAUGGGGGAAACCCUGAAGCAGCAACGCCGCGUGAGGGAUGAAGGCCUUCGGGUUGUAAACCUCUUUUGUCAGGGACGAUGAUGACGGUACCUGGCGAAUAAGCCACGGCUAACUACGUG